AAGGGGCUCGCGAGCCGUUUCGGUGACCGUCAUCACCCUGUCCCUUGCAGGGGGGCUUCCAUCACCCCCAUCCCUGCAGUGCGUGGGUGCACGGCUGGUGGCUGCUGCACCGCCAAGUCUCCGGCAUGUGAAGUCCUCUCCAAAGCUCGUUUGCAGCCGCCCAAUUUACCUUCCUUCUGCAGGCAAGUCCAGAGGCUCAUCCCCCUAAGGAGACAUGUUCCUAGCUAAAGAGCAGUCAAACCUGCGUGGAGCUGGCUGAAGGCGAGCGCGAUCUCAGGAGCCUCCGAGCUCCCAUUGAAUGACGUUGCCAUCUCCAGAUCUGCCCAGGUUCAAACCUUCCUCUGGCUACAAGUGUGCAUUUGAUUAGCGUUCUGGGAGUGGCUGCAGGGGGAUCUCCAUUUUCACGGCAAUCCAGGAGGUCGGGAUUUACGGAAGAUGCUUUGUGCUGCGAUUUUUGCCCAGGUGAGGAGAUGUGUGCGGUUAGCGUAGGAAAUUGAGUAGAUUGAUGUGAAAAUCAUUCCCUUUGAUUUUUUUUUCCUUUUUUUUUUUUUUUAAGAUCUGCCCAGGUUCAAACCUUCCUCUGGCUACAAGUGUGCAUUUGAUUAGCGUUCUGGGAGUGGCUGCAGGGGAAUCUCCAUUUUCACGGCAAUCCAGGAGGUCGGGAUUUACGGAAGAUGCUUUGUGCUGCGAUUUUUGCCCAGAAGGAGGCGGGGGGGCUUGCUGCGCUACGGAGGAGCCUCAGCGCCG
Molecule: long non-coding RNA, 747 nt
Filed under: Struthio camelus australis
Lineage: Eukaryota; Metazoa; Chordata; Aves; Struthioniformes; Struthionidae
Description: lncRNA (ENSSCUG00000007036.1)
Source: RNAcentral